UGCGUCUGCCGAGGACGUUGGUGACCCUGGUCUCUGAGGACAUGGACAUCUUCCAGCAACAGAUCUCGAGAAGACAGCUGGCUAAAAUCCUUAUUUGUCCGGAAAGUUGAUCCAAGAAAAGAUGCCCACUCCAAUCUCCUAGCCAAAAAGGAAACAAGCAAUCUAUACAAAUUACAGUUUCACAAUGUUAAACCGGAAUGCCUAGAAGCAUACAACAAAAUUUGUCAAGAGGUGUUGCCAAAGAUUCACG
RNAcentral lists this small RNA (250 nucleotides) under Pan troglodytes (chimpanzee). RNAcentral's name for it is "processed transcript". The record is from RNAcentral. Lineage: Eukaryota; Metazoa; Chordata; Mammalia; Primates; Hominidae.